This 523-nucleotide ribosomal RNA is filed under the name uncultured Glomeromycotina. RNAcentral describes it as "SSU rRNA". It matches the Rfam family "Eukaryotic small subunit ribosomal RNA", at positions 570 to 1094 of the family's 1831-position model. The record is from RNAcentral. Lineage: Eukaryota; Fungi; Glomeromycota.
GCAGCCGCGGUAAUUCCAGCUCCAAUAGCGUAUAUUAAAGUUGUUGCAGUUAAAAAGCUCGUAGUUGAACUUCGGGAUCAAUGAAUUGGUCAUGCCGUUGGUAUGUACUAAUUUUAUUGGUUCUCACCUUCUAAAGAACCAUAAUGUCAUUCAUUUGAUGUUAUGGGGAAUUAGGACUGUUACCUUGAAAAAAUUAGAGUGUUUAAAGCAGGCUCACGCUUGAAUACAUUAGCAUGGAAUAAUGAAAUAGGACAUCGCAUUCUAUUUUGUUGGUUUCUAGGAUCGAUGUAAUGAUUAAUAGGGAUAGUUGGGGGCAUUAGUAUUCAAUUGUCAGAGGUGAAAUUCUUGGAUUUAUUGAAGACUAACUACUGCGAAAGCAUUUGCCAAGGAUGUUUUCAUUAAUCAAGAACGAAAGUUAGGGGAUCGAAGACGAUCAGAUACCGUCGUAGUCUUAACCAUAAACUAUGCCGACUAGGGAUCGGAUGAUGUUGAUUUUUUAAUGACUCAUUCGGCACCUUACGGG